RNAcentral lists this ribosomal RNA (146 nucleotides) under Aeschynanthus solomonensis. RNAcentral describes it as "5.8S ribosomal RNA". It matches the Rfam family "5.8S ribosomal RNA". From Rfam's summary of the family: 5.8S ribosomal RNA (5.8S rRNA) is a component of the large subunit of the eukaryotic ribosome. It is transcribed by RNA polymerase I as part of the 45S precursor that also contains 18S and 28S rRNA. Lineage: Eukaryota; Viridiplantae; Streptophyta; Magnoliopsida; Lamiales; Gesneriaceae. The record is from RNAcentral.
AACGACUCUCGGCAACGGAUAUCUCGGCUCUCGCAUCGAUGAARAACGUAGCGAAAUGCGAUACUUGGUGUGAAUUGCAGAAUCCCGUGAACCAUCGAGUCUUUGAACGCAAGUUGCGCCCGAUGCCAUCAGGUUGAGGGCACGUC